This 301-nucleotide ribosomal RNA is filed under the name uncultured bacterium. Its description in RNAcentral is "partial 16S ribosomal RNA". It matches the Rfam family "Bacterial small subunit ribosomal RNA", at positions 509 to 807 of the family's 1533-position model. The record is from RNAcentral.
CAGUCGCCGCGGGAAUACAGAGGUCCCGAGCGUUGUUCGGAUUCACUGGGCGUAAAGGGUGUGUAGGAGGUUGGAUAAGUCAGGUGUGAAAUCCCGCAGCUCAACUGCGGAACUGCAUUCGAUACUGUUCAACUAGAGGAUCGGAGGGGGAAGCGGAAUUCUUGGUGUAGCGGUGAAAUGCGUAGAUAUCAAGAGGAACACCGGUGGCGAAGGCGGCUUCCUGGAAGAUACCUGACUCUGAAACACGAAAGCCAUGGGAGCGAAUGGGAUUAGAUACCCCGGUAGUCCCUGUCUCUUAUAC